GCGAGAGACAUAGAAAGAGAUUAUUAUUAAUGUUACUACAGUAUUUUUAAUAGAGAAUAUGUAUGUGUGCCUUUGUAACGCGUGUGGAGGGAUAAUCUGACAUACAUAAAUUUCGACUUGCGUAAGGGGUGGAAGAACUGUCUUUUUGCAUAAGUUGAGUGGUGUCUGUACAUGAAAAGUUUACUGUGAUCCUAAUUGCUUAAGAGUCUGCUGACAACAGAUGGAUGGAUACAAAGAGGAAGGCAGAUCAUGGGUGAAAAAUUCGCCCUAUUUAUUUUGAUAUAUGCAAUGAAAAUUUGAUUCUACAGCUUUACUAUGCCUAUAUGCUUAUGUAUUACAAUGUCUAACUAGUGAAACAGCCUAUGCAAGAACGCGCCACAUUCCAGGCAGCAGUUUGAUGCAGUUAGUCUCUUUCUGUGUCAGCUUAUUCCCAUAAGAUAUCAGGAGGAAUACAGAAUUAUGUACUUCCCAGGAGACUGUGUGUAUUGAGAGUGAUAACACUGGAAACAGUUGAGUGUUUUCAUGAAAGGACAAGAGAUUGGGGGGGCACCUUGACCUGUUUUGGAUGAUGAAACAAAACGUAUCUCACCCAUGCUUGUGAAGAACCUCCCUAGAAUGUGUAUAAAUAUCUGCUUGCUUAACUGCUGGGGUGUGACUCUCUCUAGGAGGCUCACCCAUGUGCACAUAAAUAAAUAAAGUUUUCUGCAAUCUGAGUGACUUGCCAAACUGAAUCUUUUCAGAUAUGUGUCACUGUCACUGGCACCCCUGGCGUGCCCGACAGCUGCACUCCUAGCAACAGUGUGCUUGAUGACCACCAUGAGCUCCCCGGUGACAACCCCAGAGACGCAGUAUAAAAGUACCCGCUCCGACGCACCUGGCCGUGGAACCUUCAACUGAGAGAUGUUCUCCUCACCUAUCUUCCGAGGCUCACUGUUCUGCUCUGUUCUGUAGGUGCAACCGUAGUGUGAUACAAAGGAAGCAACUUGAGCAUCAGUAUGAUGCCCUGGUGGGCUCACAUGAUCAAUCCCUGCGCAAGAUGGAGGAUACCCUCCAGGAGAUGGUGCAAGUGUUCCGGUCCUGUGGGACAAUGCAAUCCACCAGGGCUUUCUAAUGCAAUGUGAACUCGUGUUUGAUAACUUUCGUAAACCUGUCAAAUGGACAAAACAAAGAUUGCUUACCUGAUCUCCCUCCUCACAGGUCCUGCGUGGCGCUGGGCCACGGGUGGGUGGAAGUCCAAUGCCCCCUCCACCUAUGAUACUUUUAAGAAAUGCUUGAAGACGGUGUUCGAUCAUCCACUCUCUGCUCAAGCUGCCCAUGACCGCCUGAUGAAGAUCCGGCAGGGUGACCACUCGGUGGCUGAAUACUCCCUGUAAUUCCGGACCCUGGCCGAACAGAGCGGGUGGAACUCCACCCCCCUCUUAGCCAGCUUCCGAAACAGGCUCCACUCCUGGAUCCAGGUGGAGCUCGCCUAGCAGGGCUAGGAUUGGACAUUCGACCGCUUUCUGGAGACAGCACUAACCAUUUACAAUCUCCCCUGAGAGAGAACCCCAUGUCUGUGGCAGAACACCGCCACUCUGAGCAAACUCUCAAACCGAUGCAGAUCGGCCUAGGCCGACUGGACCCUGACUAGAGACAGCGCUCCUAGAUUCUCUUAAACGGCGAGGGGGCCUGCAGUACCUGGUGGACUGGGAAGGCUAUGGCCCGGAAGAGCAAUGUUGGGUGCCCACGCACAAUGUUCUGGAGCCUGUUCUUGUUGCUGAUUUCCACAGGUCCCAUCCGGACCGGCCUGCGCCCCGCCCCAGGGGCCGUCCUCCCUCGCACCAUAAGGCAGCUGGUGCCGCCAGUAGGGAGGGGGUACUAUCACUAUCACCGGUGCCCCUGGCGUGCCUGACUACUAUGCACCUAGCAACCGCGUGCUUGACGACCACCACAACCUCUCUGGUGACAACCCUGGAGAGGCAGUAUAAAAGUGUCACGCCCCCAGGAUCAAGCUGAACGACUGCAACUCCAGCUUGUCAACCUGGCCAGUCAAGUCUCCACAUUUGUGAAGAUGAUCGUGCCAGAGGGGGCCCUGGUGUUUCAUGAGAAAGCCUGGAAUGCAUACCGUUACUGCUGCACAAUUCCCCAAAAUGCUGUGGACAGAGAGAUGUGUAAACAAGAGGAAGUGCUGAAUGGGGCAUGCAGCACAGACGGAGGUCUUUGUACUCUGGUUCCAGAGUAAAGAGAGCUGAACAGCUGCUUUCAUGGUGGAAUGGAUCUUCCUAAGAACUACAAGGAGGAAGAGGACAUCACUCUGUUUUAACGUGUGAAGACUGGCAGGGGGCCCCUGGUGCCCAACUGGGAAGUACCGUUCCUCCACAAUGAGGGCGUACGACAGAGAGAAAGAAAGCGAGAGAGAGAGACACUCUGGCAGGGCUCUGUGCUGAUCUUUGAUGAAGACAAAUGGCUGCUUUCUUGCUACUAAUUCCUUGUAGUAGAAGUGCAGAAGAUGGGGUCAGAGUGGGUGCUCUAUUGUCAGGCGUGCUCUAAGCUGACACGUCUGUCUACCCUGGAGCACAUGUGGCUGCUUGACCUGUUUUUCCCCUGGUAAGCAGCAGGUGGCGGAGUGUGUAUGGACCACGACUUGGAAUCACAUUGUUUCUUAUUCACGCUCUCCAUGGCAACAUUGUAUUCCAGGCAUUCAUUCAGUAUAAAUGAGUGUAACUGUGUGUGCUGUUUAGAAUUAAUACUGGUAAACUAUGAAGCAGCAAUGGUAAAUAUACUGGUACCUCACUAUGAACAGCUUUGAAUUUUCAAAGAACCAUUUUUAUUUUAUUCACUUUUAAUGACAAGGCAGCACAGAGACACAGCAGGUAUAGAGUUGCAACCUCAUAGCACUUGGUCUGUAUGGGUGUAAGCUGAAAUACAGCUCAGUCAUGUUCUUCUCGUGUCCACUUGGAUUUCUUCCCAUAGUCCAAAGACAUUGCAGUUCAGGAGGAUUGCUGAAUUACCUGUAGUGAGUGUGUGUGGGGCUGUCCUCCUAUCCAGGGUGUACACCCCCUCAGCCUUGUGCCCAGCGAUUUUAGGAUAGGCUCUGGAUCUUUGCAACCCUGACAAGGACAAAUGGUUAAUGAAAGAGAAUGAGUGAGCAAGUAUUUUUUAAUUGGAUAUUUUCUUAAUUUGUUUAUUUUCCAACUCUUCUGUGUGUAAGGGGGGCAUGGUGGUGC
This is a long non-coding RNA of Scleropages formosus (Asian bonytongue), 3206 nucleotides long. RefSeq lists it as uncharacterized. NCBI's taxonomy places the organism in Eukaryota, Metazoa, Chordata, Actinopteri, Osteoglossiformes, Osteoglossidae. The record is from RefSeq and is a predicted model, not a curated record. The transcript has 5 exons.